RNAcentral lists this ribosomal RNA (104 nucleotides) under Salvator merianae (Argentine black and white tegu). Lineage: Eukaryota; Metazoa; Chordata; Lepidosauria; Squamata; Teiidae. The record is from RNAcentral.
GCUUUGGCACAUCCCCAUUUCAGAGUAUCUCAGAAACUGAGCAGAGUUGGGCCUGGUUAUAACUUGGAUGGGAGACUCCUUGGAAAUUCCAGGUGUUAUAGGCU